GGAUCACUCUCAUUUUCUUAUUCUUACUUUUUUUUCCAUUGAACGACCGUGUUAGAGUCCCCCACAAUAUAUAAUUGUAGGUAUGAAAUAAAUUUUCAGUAAUGAACGACUCAACUCUUAAAAUAUUUUCCUAUUUCUUUUCUAGAAAUAACUUCACUACAUUUCUUGGUGUCAAAACAGGUUAAGAUAGAGAAUCUAUUCUCUUAAAAAAAAAAAA
Molecule: long non-coding RNA, 217 nt
Organism: Cucurbita maxima (winter squash)
Lineage: Eukaryota; Viridiplantae; Streptophyta; Magnoliopsida; Cucurbitales; Cucurbitaceae
Exons: 2
Source: RefSeq, a predicted model, not a curated record